UGCAGAAGUAAACAGGGCGUGAUAUUGAUUCGGCUCAUACUCCAAUCUUUGCUUACAAAUUGAAUUAAGCCUCUGACAAGAGAACGAGCCGAAUCAAUAUCACUCUUGUAUGCUUUUUG
This 119-nucleotide microRNA precursor is filed under the name Morus notabilis. The record is from RNAcentral. Lineage: Eukaryota; Viridiplantae; Streptophyta; Magnoliopsida; Rosales; Moraceae.